Pelobates cultripes (western spadefoot toad) is the source of this 2929-nucleotide non-coding RNA. Lineage: Eukaryota; Metazoa; Chordata; Amphibia; Anura; Pelobatidae. The record is from the annotation of a GenBank genome assembly.
CCGUGUAUAUGUAUAUUUACAAAUUUUGAAACACAAAAGGGGACGCCCUUCCAGAGUGCAUCAGUACAGUGAAAACAUCAAAACUUUUCUUUAUCCAAACGUGUAUAAAAUUACAUGGUUUUUCAGAGUAAAAAAGAAAAUUGCUUAAAUACAGGAAAAAAAUAUCUAGAAUAAUGUAGGAAGUUAGAAAUGAUAUUAACCAGAGCAAAAAAUGAACAAAAACGACAAAACACAAAAACACUUUUUUGAAGGGAAACACUGCUUUUUCCACUUUUGGUAUAUUUAACUUUAGGAAGAUACAAAAUAUGUUUACGUUCUAGCAAAGUUCUUGGCUUUUACCUUGUGGUUCUGAUGAAAAUAUUAAGCCACUAGCUUUUGCCAUUUGAGGGCUGCACAAUGCCAGUAGUUGCCAGACACAGUUAAAACAUUAGUAUUUCUUUUUUUUAGUUUUAGGCAUUUUUCCUUUUUUUUAUCUCUUUCGCAAUGUUUGAACGAUAAGUUACCUAAACAUAACAAGACAUCUGUUAAUCAAACAAAUCUAAAUAGCCAUCGAAACUAAGAAUCAGAAUUCAAAGAGAAAACUACACAUACAACCUUGUACUUUUCAGUGUGUUCUGUACAAAAUCCACAGUAUAGAUACGCUGGGUCAGAUUUUAUUUUGAGAAAAAGGCUUAACAAUGGUAACUGAAUACAGGUUCUCCAAUUGUUUUCUAGUGGAAAUACUCACGUAACUACCAGAGAUAUGCUUAUCACGUACAAUAGACUCUAGCACUUAGAGGCAAAUCUUUCUCUGGUUUAUCAACCGUUUGAGACAGUUUAUAUAUACAAUCUUGAGAUUAUUGAAUAGGAAGGACAAUUUUGUUCAAUUUUUGAGUAAAUACCAAUAUGGUAAAUCUGAACGGUAUUGCUCUUAUUUCUCUUGAAGAUGAUCUUAUGCUAUGGUGAGGGUUUGGCCAUAUUAUCUUUAAGCCAAAGGGCAGGACACAUGGUGAGGACGGCAAGGUAGAAGUUGUGCUAGGACAAUGCAUGGUGCACUGCAUCACAUAAUAGCACACUGGAGUAUGUGGACAGCAAUUCAAAAGUUGGAGCCAUAAGUGUUUAUCAAGAGAAAAAUGAGAUUGACAGACUCUGCAAAGACCAUGUGUAGUACAUGUAAGUUUAUAUUAUAGGACACAUGUAGGGAAGAGGAGGGGAGGAUGGCAGAAACGUUGAGCAGAAAAAUUGAAGGAGGACCUUAAAAACGCAGAGAAAAGCUGAUAGGAUAUAACAGGUUUUUGCACUUAUUUUGAGUUAAAUUCCCUAUUCUCAACACAGCACUUUAUAUAAAACAAAUAAUCUGCCAUAUUGCUCCUUGCACCCUUAAUCAAGGCCGAAUAUUCUAUACGUCAUGUUGGAUACUGAAUAGACUUUAAAUCUUACUCAACCAUGGCUUCCUCGGAAAAGCCACAAUACCCCUCUGAUUUACCAGAACUCCAAACAUUAAUUAGAGAUAAUUAGCUAAUCUUGAAAUGGCAUGGGUGCUCUUAAUUUUAGCUGUUUUUCCGACAGGGCCAAAGGCAUAUUAAUUUGGACAAAUGGAAAGAGAAGCUCUGCGUGGUCCAACGUUAGUCUGGUAACCAAUGAUUUACAUGCUGGGGAGAAAAUAACUGAAAUGUUCAUACAAUAAAAUGGAAAUUCUGUUCCACAGCUCUCUUCAGAUACAUUGUACUUAAGGGUGCAAAAUAAUUUCUACCUUCUCAGCGGGCACAUAGACACAGUGUUUUUCACUAAUAAAAUGCUUUAGUAUUUGCAAUGUAAAAAAAUGAGCAAAACAUGGAACUUCAAAAAAAUAAAUAAAAUGCAGAAGAACAAAAUGUGGAUGUGAAUGUAUGUAUAUAAAUUGUGUUUUAGGAUAUGUGCAGAAUAAUAGAACAGUAGAACAGCUUGGAAAUUUAACUGGUCACGCCACAUGGUUUCGUGGGAUUAAAGAGACGCAUAGGUAAAAAUAAAACUGACUUUUUAUGGACAUUUUGCAACACUUGUAUGUACUGCAAAGUGAAUGGCAUUUGUUUAAAAGACUUAGGAGCAAAUUCUCCUCUUCUUAAGAUAACAGAAAGCACAGGUCACUGGUUGCAGGUAUAUUAUAUGCAAAUAAUAUAGCUAGUUAAUUGGAUAAAAACAUUGAUUUAAUGAUUUAGCAGUUUUUAUAAACUGAUUUUUAGUGCAGUGAAUGUAUUUUAAGACUGGAUUUUCACUAUAUAUUUUGGUAUGACAAGCCAUAGUGAAUAUAAAGAAAUUAUGCUAAUAAACAAACACAUUAAUAAUCUUUGGGAAGCUAUUUAACGUUUUGUCUGGCUCUGAACCAGUUAGAACCAAAUAUCUUUAAACAAUUGGCAUGUUUAUUUCCUAAACAUUAGAUUUAUUUUAGAUUUUUCUCUGUGUUUGUUUAUUGAAAGAUGCGUACAUUUUAAUUUGCGAUCUGCAGAAUCACAGCAUAAAAUAUAAGUCAUCAGCGCAAGAGAGGUGGCAUGUGAAAUUUGUUUGGAAUAUGGCCAUAUCUUCAGAUUAUCAUUUUAUUACACAUUUUUAUGAAACCGUUCAAACGCUAUGUGGUUUUCUCACCAUUUCGAGAUUUUCAAUGAGAAUUUACACAGACUGGCCUCGUUCUAACGCAAUAUACAAAUCAGAAAAUAGAGUUACAAAAAUAUACUUCAUUAAAUGAAGCCCCCAGCCAGAAAAGUUUAGACCUUAGCAUAGCACUCAUUACAAGAUUAUAAGAGCAGAUACAUUGAAGUAUUUCAUUAUUUGUUGUAGCAACUGAUGUCCAUUUCUAGUACUCACAGAGUUAGGCUAUUUGAGGCGUCAUCGGUAUAUCCUUACACAAACAUACAGUGUAUAUUGAGAUGAUCAACUUAUUUCAAUAUGAUCAAUCUAGCAACUUAAAAUUGAG